Molecule: ribosomal RNA, 2262 nt
Filed under: Triticum aestivum (bread wheat)
Lineage: Eukaryota; Viridiplantae; Streptophyta; Magnoliopsida; Poales; Poaceae
Description: partial small subunit ribosomal RNA
Source: RNAcentral
UUGAUACAAACCACUCUCUGGGUAUCUCGGUGGUCGAGGGGAAAAAAAUGGAUCGUGCUCUUACGAAUCUCAGGACCUAGAUGUACCACGUGUAAAGCCUUAGUGUUUCUUUCUAUAGUUCCUGUAUCCUAACAAGGCGGUGAACUUCAUAAACUUAUAACCUUCACGAUUUCGUAUAAGUUUACAAAUAUCUUAAGGUUCUAGAUAUCCUUUUAAUUUUCCAAAUGUCUGAAACCUCUAUUCUUACUGUCUAUAUAGUUGUUAUGGUUUACUCUAAACAUUGGAAGUCUCAGAGGCAUCGUAGGCCACAUUCUUUUGUGUAACCAGGAUAGAACCAGAAGUCGGGAGAUACCCCACGAACUACCUGUACUACAUAGUAGUCUACUAAUGAGCAUUAAGAGUACUUUUUCGAAACUUCAGUGCGUACGGAACGAAAUCCGUAACCAGUUAUAUGUUUCCACAUUCACACGGCUCUCCCUAAUCGUUCAAUGUUCUCAAUGUUUGUGAUCUCCAACACCUGUAGUUUGCCUCACUACGGUUACGUUAAUUUCUCGAACCACUCGAACACGUCGAUUUUUUUGAACCCCACCAUUGCUUUCUCCGGUGGCUCGUCUUUACGUUCAAUGAAACACGUCGAUAGCUCUUCGAGUGAAGGGACAUGAGAGAAUUACACCUACGCCUGAUAGUACCGAGAGACCUCACCGACGUAAGACAAAGAAGAGGAGGGGAUGGGUACUCCUCAGAGUUCGACCAACCCGCAGAACCUCUUUACGGUCUGACCUAACCUUCAAACUGUGUAAAUCACUUCUAAAUAGAUCCCGUAUCGCUCGACUUUCCACUAUUUUGGUACCUUGAUGAUCCGUGUGACGGGUUUGAAUACGAGGAACCAGAAGCAGUCUUACGUAUACAACCCUUCUCAGAUCAGAAACCUCGUUCUCGUAAGGGUUUAGAGUCCCUUGAUCUAUAAAAAAUGGGCCUAGCUCACUCUCUCCACUAUAAGCUUCUCCUGUGGAGCAUGGUCAACCGUUUCUAUGUUAAGGCACCGCCGGCUACACACCUUAAAUAACCGUAGUUUGUAGAGGGUUCCCAGUUCCUCUAAAGUGAACCAAACCCCCGAUCUCACCGCUUCGAACCACUGGACGUUCCCCUUCACCUCCGUGUGGGGUUGGUAGGGCACGACGCUGAUCACCUCCUGACCUCGUACGUAUUGUAGCUGGGGAGACUUGUACUUCGCGACCUCCUUCUUAACCGAUUAAAAGCCUCCGUCGUAGUCGUCCUCUCUAGGUGAUUAUUAGCGUUCACCACCGGUACCGCUGUUGCUCGCGUUAGUCAAAAAUAAAAGGUGGUGUAGGUUCCGAGGUUACAUCUUCUACUACCUCUACUAAAGAAGAGAACGUGAAGAGUACUGCUUCUACGAACGACUUCUAUGUUGAGUACCACGUAACGGAAUAUAUAACCAAGUCUUUGAUGUGGAUAACAACUUCCGUUGACUGUUCCUAGGUUUGCCCGCUUCGAACCUCUUUUACGGUAUCUGAUGGGGUGUAUUCUACGAUGAUGCAUGAUGUUUUGACGCAUACAACAAUACGACGUGAACCUGUAGUGCAAGUUGAAGGAAUGUUCAAAGUCCAACUAAUAGAGGAGAGACUGCAAUAUGUCCAUGGUGAGUUUAGAACAAAAUGAACCCCCUACUAACCAUGGCUGCUCUCUACCUUGCCAGGAAUCUAAGGUCAAGUCACAACACCACAAUGAACAAUCCACGUAACGAUAAAGUGGGCGUUUUUUUCGCCUCUUCUACACCGAUAUGUUAUGUGAUAUGAUAUGUUCUACGAUGACGAUUCGACGUAUAUAACAAUAAGACGUUAACCAGUAGUCCAACUUGGAACGUUCAAACGACGAUCAAUGGAGGACUACAAAAAUGCCAGGUUUACCUUCUCCUCACUGUGUAUAGAACACCCAUAGCCACCUUGUCUCCGCUCGUUCUAGAGACUAGCUUUCAUGUUCACCGUUGUUGACUGGGUUUAUUAACAUUUAACAAACCUUUUCUAGUACCUUGCCUACUAGUUAGACUACUCUUCUGGACGUUAGCACUUAUGUCUCAUGAACGAAAGAAAUGAUCGAUCUCAUAAAUUCAUGGGCGUUGGACAUAACCACCAUGUGGUAGCACGUUUGGAUUUCGAUAUAACAUAACGAUUAACCCCACAUUUAAUAAACGACAUGUAGUAGCAAUCACACAACACUCUUGUGGCGGCCCGUUCGGAAGCA